This 898-nucleotide long non-coding RNA is filed under the name Pan troglodytes (chimpanzee). RNAcentral describes it as "long non-coding RNA NONPTRT001697". Lineage: Eukaryota; Metazoa; Chordata; Mammalia; Primates; Hominidae. The record is from RNAcentral.
CUGUUCACUUAACCUCUCUGGUUAUCCAUAUCCUCAUCCAUAGAAUGGAGAUAAUCAUUCUCACCACCGAGGGGUGCUGUGAGGAUCGGGCAAGGCCACAAGGUAAGGACUGGAUCAACCUGAGGCACAGCGCAAGCUUCCCUUGCUCCAGCCACGCAGCGGGACUCUAGUCUAUGCAAAUCUUUGCCAAAUACAUCUGAUCUUGCCAAUUGUCUUAGUCUGUUUAGGUUGCUGUAACAAAAUACCAUAAACCAGGUGGCUUAUAAACAACAGAAAUUUAUUUCUCACAGUUCUGGAGGCUGGAAAGCCCACCAUUGAGGUGGCUGGCAGAUUUGAUGUCUUGUGAGGGCCCAUUUCCUGGUGCACAGAUGGUAGCUUCUUGCUAUGUUCUCACCUAGUGGAAGGGACCAGGCAGCUCUCUGGGGUCUCUUUUAUAAGGAUGCUCAUCCCAUUCACAAGACCCCUGCCCUCAUGACCUAAUCACCUCCCAAAUUCCCCACUUCCUAAUACCAUCACCUUGAGGAUUAGGUUUCAAUGUCUGAAUUUCGGGGGAGACACAGACAUUCAGACCCUAGCACCGACUCUCGCUACUUCUCUUAAUAUUACCUCAUAUGCUUCAUUCCAGAGUGACCUUUUAGCAUGCUCGGCUUCUUCUGUGAUCCUGAAGUUAUGUUUGACACUGGUGGCAUAGGUAGCAUCCACAUCUGUUGGAUGGAAAGCUUCUCCAGGCAGGGGCCUCUCCCUUCCUCUUUACAGAGCCCAGCAUGCAGGAAAUGUGCAGCGUGUGUCUAUUCCUAGGUGGACAAAUGCAUCCAUGAACGAGGAGCUGGCACCUCUCUCUUGAAGACCUGUUUAUUUCACGUCAUGCAACUUUAGCAAGAUGUUUACUCUUAUGGGC